This 924-nucleotide ribosomal RNA is filed under the name uncultured Chloroflexota bacterium. RNAcentral describes it as "bacterial SSU rRNA". It matches the Rfam family "Bacterial small subunit ribosomal RNA", at positions 52 to 993 of the family's 1533-position model. The record is from RNAcentral. Lineage: Bacteria; Bacillati; Chloroflexota.
UGCAUGCAGUCGAACGAACGGACCCCUUCGGGGGCGAGUUAGUGGCAGACGGCUGAGUAACGCGUAAGCAACCUACCCACUGGCGGGGGACAACCCGGAGAAAUCCGAGCUAAUACCGCAUGUGGUUGCCUGCCGAUAGCGGGUAACCAAAGGCUUCGGCCACCAGUGGAUGGGCUUGCGUACCAUCAGGUAGUCGGUGAGGUAACGGCCCACCAAGCCGUCGACGGGUAGCCGGUGUGAGAGCACGACCGGCCAGAGGGGGACUGAGACACGGCCCCUACUCCUACGGGAGGCAGCAGCAGGGAAUCUUGCGCAAUGGGCGAAAGCCUGACGCAGCGACGCCGCGUGAGGGAAGAAGGCCUGCGGGUCGUAAACCUCUUUUCUCGGGGAAGAUAGUGACGGUACCCGAGGAAUAAGCCUCGGCUAACUACGUGCCAGCAGCCGCGGUAAUACGUAGGAGGCUAGCGUUGUCCGGAUUCAUUGGGCGUAAAGGGAGCGCAGGUGGCCGGGUUAGUCCGUGGUGCAAUCUCCAGGCUCAACUUGGAGAGGUCUACGGAUACUGCUCGGCUUGAGGACGGUAGAGGAGCACGGAAUUCCUGGUGUAGUGGUGAAAUGCGUAGAUAUCAGGAGGAACACCCGUGGCGAAAGCGGUGCUCUGGGCCGAUCCUGACACUCAGGCUCGAAAGCGUGGGGAGCAAACCGGAUUAGAUACCCGGGUAGUCCACGCCCUAAACGAUGAGUGCUGGGUAUGGGGGGGGGUAUCGACCCCCUCCGUGCCGAAGCUCACGCGUUAAGCACCCCGCCUGGGGACUACGGCCGCAAGGCUAAAACUCAAAGGAAUUGACGGGGGCCCGCACAAGCAGCGGAGCGUGUGGUUUAAUUCGAUGCAAAGCGAAGAACCUUACCAGGGCUUGACAUGUCGGU